UACGUAGGGUGCGAGCGUUGUCCGGAAUUAUUGGGCGUAAAGAGCUUGUAGGCGGUUUGUCGCGUCUGCUGUGAAAAUCCGGGGCUCAACCCCGGACUUGCAGUGGGUACGGGCAGACUAGAGUGUGGUAGGGGAGACUGGAAUUCCUGGUGUAGCGGUGGAAUGCGCAGAUAUCAGGAGGAACACCGAUGGCGAAGGCAGGUCUCUGGGCCGAUACUGACGCUGAGGAGCGAAAGCGUGGGGAGCGAUCCGG
This 253-nucleotide ribosomal RNA is filed under the name uncultured bacterium. RNAcentral describes it as "partial 16S ribosomal RNA". It matches the Rfam family "Bacterial small subunit ribosomal RNA", at positions 524 to 776 of the family's 1533-position model. The record is from RNAcentral.